GCCGGGGUGGCGAAACGGCAGACGCAGGGGACUUAAAAUCCUCCGGGCGCAAGUCCAUGCGGGUUCGAGUCCCGCCCCCGGCACCA
This 86-nucleotide transfer RNA is filed under the name Thermaerobacter sp. Its description in RNAcentral is "tRNA-Leu". It matches the Rfam family "tRNA". Rfam says of the family: Transfer RNA (tRNA) molecules are approximately 80 nucleotides in length. Their secondary structure includes four short double-helical elements and three loops (D, anti-codon, and T loops). The record is from RNAcentral. Lineage: Bacteria; Bacillati; Bacillota; Clostridia; Eubacteriales; Clostridiales Family XVII. Incertae Sedis.